UGUCCGGUACUAGAAUACUUGAAGACAAGGUGUGGCUGUAUGAUUUUCCAGGUUUUGAGAAGGACCUGUCAUUUGACAAUGAAAAUGUAAAGUAUAAGCCUUUCGGAGACGUGGAAAAAAGUUUGGAAGAGGUCGACAAAUGCAAUUUCUGUGUUGUCUAUGUCCUGGACUGUUCAGAUGAAAUAUCAAAAGAAGAAAUUAAAAGAAUGAACCAAUGCAAUGACGAUUUCAAAAA
Molecule: long non-coding RNA, 235 nt
Organism: Mizuhopecten yessoensis (Yesso scallop)
Lineage: Eukaryota; Metazoa; Mollusca; Bivalvia; Pectinida; Pectinidae
Exons: 2
Source: RefSeq, a predicted model, not a curated record